UCUAUUAUGGCAGAUAAGUGCAAUGGAUUUAAGCUCCAUACAUAAAGUUAUUCACUUUUUUUAGAA
RNAcentral lists this transfer RNA (66 nucleotides) under Sorineuchora formosana. RNAcentral's name for it is "tRNA-Leu". Lineage: Eukaryota; Metazoa; Arthropoda; Insecta; Blattodea; Pseudophyllodromiidae. The record is from RNAcentral.